UUUUUUAUUUGGUUUUUUUUAUUUUUUUGUUAUUUUUUUUUGGCCUCCACUGAACUGUUCAUUUUGGGGGCAACAUGGUAUUAAUCUUGAACAAACUGCAAACUUCUGAUGUCGUGCCGUUGUUCAAAUUCAAUGUAUUGUCUAAUAUGAUCCUUUUUGGCAUUCCAUAUUGACAUAUGAUUCUUCAAGAAAUUUGCCGAGUGUCGA
RNAcentral lists this long non-coding RNA (207 nucleotides) under Gossypium raimondii (Peruvian cotton). Its description in RNAcentral is "long non-coding RNA (GRAI_LNC011213)". Lineage: Eukaryota; Viridiplantae; Streptophyta; Magnoliopsida; Malvales; Malvaceae. The record is from RNAcentral.